UACGUAGGGGGCAAGCGUUGUCCGGAUUUAUUGGGCGUAAAGAGCGUGUAGGCGGUCAGGUAGGUCGGUUGUGAAAACUGGAGGCUCAACCUUCAGAGGUCGACCGAAACCCCCUGGCUAGAGUCCUGGAGAGGCGAGUGGAAUUCCCGGUGUAGCGGUGAAAUGCGUAGAGAUCGGGAGGAACACCAGAGGCGAAGGCGGCUCGCUGGACAGGCACUGACACUCAACUACGAAAGCGUGGGGAGCAAACAGG
This 253-nucleotide ribosomal RNA is filed under the name uncultured bacterium. RNAcentral describes it as "partial 16S ribosomal RNA". It matches the Rfam family "Bacterial small subunit ribosomal RNA", at positions 524 to 776 of the family's 1533-position model. The record is from RNAcentral.